This 253-nucleotide ribosomal RNA is filed under the name uncultured bacterium. Its description in RNAcentral is "partial 16S ribosomal RNA". It matches the Rfam family "Bacterial small subunit ribosomal RNA", at positions 524 to 776 of the family's 1533-position model. The record is from RNAcentral.
UACGUAGGGGGCAAGCGUUGUCCGGAAUCAUUGGGCGUAAAGAGCGUGUAGGUGGCUCGGUAAGUCCGCUGUGAAAGUUCAGGGCUCAACCCUGGAAAGCCGGUGGAAACUGUCGAGCUCGAGUCCGGAAGAGGCGAGUGGAAUUCCUGGUGUAGCGGUGAAAUGCGCAGAUAUCAGGAGGAACACCAAUGGCGAAGGCAGCUCGCUGGGACGGUACUGACACUGAGACGCGAAAGCGUGGGGAGCAAACAGG